RNAcentral lists this ribosomal RNA (492 nucleotides) under uncultured bacterium. RNAcentral describes it as "partial 16S ribosomal RNA". It matches the Rfam family "Bacterial small subunit ribosomal RNA", at positions 29 to 507 of the family's 1533-position model. The record is from RNAcentral.
AGUGAACGCUGGCGGUAGGCCUAACACAUGCAAGUCGAACGGCAGCACAGUAAGAGCUUGCUCUUACGGGUGGCGAGUGGCGGACGGGUGAGGAAUACAUCGGAAUCUACUUUUUCGUGGGGGAUAACGUAGGGAAACUUACGCUAAUACCGCAUACGACCUACGGGUGAAAGCAGGGGAUCUUCGGACCUUGCGCGAUUGAAUGAGCCGAUGUCGGAUUAGCUAGUUGGCGGGGUAAAGGCCCACCAAGGCGACGAUCCGUAGCUGGUCUGAGAGGAGGAUCAGCCACACUGGAACUGAGACAGGGUCCAGACGCCUACGGGAGGCAGCAGUGGGGAAUAUUGGACAAUGGGCGCGAGCCUGAUCCAGCCAUACCGCGUGGGUGAAGAAGGCCUUCGGGUUGUAAAGCCCUUUUGUUGGGAAAGAAAAGCAGCAGGUUAAUACCCCGCUGUUCUGACGGUACCCAAAGAAUAAGCACCGGCUAACUUCGUG